AUUCCCGCUCACUCGCUCCCUCCCUCCCAAUAUUUGGAUUUCCCAGUUCCCACACCAGAGAUUAACUUCCCUCUCCUUCUCCCUGACCUAAUCGGACAGAGAUUAACUUCCCUCUCCUUCUCCCUGACCUAAUCGGACGACGUCACCCAAUGAGUGGCGACUGUUCUUGGCAGCAUCGAUGAAGGGGAUUCUAGAGCAGAAAAGACAUUUCUGCUUCACUUUUGCUACUUCAUGAUGUACAGAAAUAUCUUGGUUACUAAUAACAUGCCCACCAAGUGUUCGAUGAUUUGCUUACCACUAGGGACGUGAUUUGCUCGUUUCUAACCCUAAACCACUGAUAGUCCAUGAAUUUUUAUUCUGAUUUGCAAAUUGCUACUCAAAAUUUGUAUGUUUUCUUUAUCAGAUAGUUUCAAUGCUUUCGAUUUGUCUAUCUAGAACUCCAGGCACUGAUUUUUGUUCUUUUAGGGUUGUGGAAGGUUGUGGGUUUCUUUUCUAUUUGCAAAUAGCCACAUUGUUAAAGCACUAAGUUUUUGCAGUACUGGUGUGCUGAUUUUGUUCCCAACAGCAAAUAUCUUUGUGUAGAUGAUCAUCAUCAAAAUCAGAGCACGUAUUGUUUUGUUGGACAACCUGGUCCGUGAAUAGAUUUUAGUGUAGAACUUGUAUCAGGGGCUCAGGGCUGGAAUACAGGUCAGUUAUUCUUGUAUAUUCUUUCAGGCAGUGUUCCAGUGUGAGUAUUUCAUUUCUUGGAGGGUGCAUUUUAUUAGUGUAUUAUUCUUGGCUCUAAAAAAUCCUUAUAGGGCUGGGGGGCUGGUUAACCCGUGAACAAACCGGUUAACCCAACAAUGGGCACCUACUCCAUUGGAAUAUAACUUGUCAAACAGACGGAGCUCACCGAAAUGAAGUGGUCAGCAACGGAACAAGACUUGUUGCUUUCUAGAGAGAAGAUGGCUGGAAACGAAGUGGUUGGAACUUGGUGAGUAAUGGGGGAGAAUUGUAAGAAGUAUGGUGUUCCAUUCUGCGGUGCUUCUUUCAUAGCACAUAAUGCCCUCAAAUCAUCUGGCACAGAUGCCAAGAAAGAAGACGAAGAUUCUGGUAACCGACCAAAUUAUGUGAUUUUUGCGGCUGGCAGUGGUGAAGGUCGAAGUGGCAUCCCAAAUGCUUUAGUCAUCUCACUUAUCGAUUCGGCCUCUAAUUCCCUUUCUGAUCAGGAUGGUUCUCUACAUGUAGUUGGUGACUUGGUGAGUACAUGAUGGUACAUUGAGGGUGUUCAAAGUGGCCUACCAUGGCAUUAGUCCUUGAUGCGCCUAAGGCUCAUACAUCUGUGAAAAAAAUUAGAUUUCAGUCCUGACGGGAAAUAUCGUGUGUCGGUUGGAAGUGGCCCUGGUACGGUUUGGGAUAUCUCAUCGUCAAUAGCUAAAGCUUCUUUAUCAAAAGAAAAUGAUGAAGUUUUUGAAUUUUGCAAAUUUUCACUUAAUGGAGAGAGUGAUCCCUUUCUCUAUGUCACUGCAAUGCGAGGUUGAAUAUAGUGAAUUGGUUGAUGCGGCGACAAUAAGGAGCAAGUGCAAGGAACAACUAUGAAGUGUGAAAUACGAUCGCUAAGAAAGAGUUAACACAAUGAAUAUUUUACUCACAUGAAGAAUGUGAAAGAGAUUCAUGAGCGCCAUGGAGUUUUGAGUUUUUGUUCAAACAUUUUUUAAAUAUUUGUUUUUUAUGUUCGAUAUUUAGACUAAGGUUGACACUUAUUAGUUAUUUCUUUGCAAACAUUUGGAAUCUUUGGAAGAUGAUUGAUUGAAUUUUUUAAUUGAAUUGAUUAUAUUAUUAUGA
This is a long non-coding RNA of Helianthus annuus (common sunflower), 1824 nucleotides long. RefSeq lists it as uncharacterized. NCBI's taxonomy places the organism in Eukaryota, Viridiplantae, Streptophyta, Magnoliopsida, Asterales, Asteraceae. The transcript has 8 exons. The record is from RefSeq and is a predicted model, not a curated record.